This 507-nucleotide ribosomal RNA is filed under the name uncultured bacterium. RNAcentral's name for it is "partial 16S ribosomal RNA". It matches the Rfam family "Bacterial small subunit ribosomal RNA", at positions 28 to 507 of the family's 1533-position model. The record is from RNAcentral.
GACGAACGCUGGCGGCGUGCCUAAUACAUGCAAGUCGAACGCAUUUUCUUUCACCGUAGCUUGCUACACCGACAGAAAAUGAGUGGCGAACGGGUGAGUAACACGUGGGUAACCUGCCCAUCAGCGGGGGAUAACACUUGGAAACAGGUGCUAAUACCGCAUAAUUCCAUUUACCGCAUGGUAGAUGGAUGAAAGGCGCUUUUGCGUCACUGAUGGAUGGACCCGCGGUGCAUUAGCUAGUUGGUGGGGUAACGGCCUACCAAGGCUGCGAUGCAUAGCCGACCUGAGAGGGUGAUCGGCCAACCUGGGACUGAGACACGGCCCAGACUCCUACGGGAGGCAGCAGUAGGGAAUCUUCGGCAAUGGAAACAAGUCUGACCGAGCAACGCCGCGUGAGUGAAGAAGGUUUUCGGAUCGUAAAACUCUGUUGUUAGAGAAGAACAAGGAUGAGAGUGGAAAGUUCAUCCCUUGACGGUAUCUAACCAGAAAGCCACGGCUAACUACGUG